AGUGAACGCUGGCGGUAGGCCUAACACAUGCAAGUCGAACGGCAGCACAGUAAGAGCUUGCUCUUACGGGUGGCGAGUGGCGGACGGGUGAGGAAUACAUCGGAAUCUACUUUUUCGUGGGGGAUAACGUAGGGAAACUUACGCUAAUACCGCAUACGACCUACGGGUGAAAGCAGGGGAUCUUCGGACCUUGCGCGAUUGAAUGAGCCGAUGUCGGAUUAGCUAGUUGGCGGGGUAAAGGCCCACCAAGGCGACGAUCCGUAGCUGGUCUGAGAGGAUGGUCAGCCACACUGGAACUGAGACACGGUCCAGACUCCUACGGGAGGCAGCAGUGGGGAAUAUUGGACAAUGGGCGCAAGCCUGAUCCAGCCAUACCGCGUGGGUGAAGAAGGCCUUCGGGUCGUAAAGCCCUUUUGUUGGGAAAGAAAAGCAGCAGGUUAAUACCCAGCUGUUCUGACGGUACCCAAAGAAUAAGCACCGGCUAACUUCGUG
This 492-nucleotide ribosomal RNA is filed under the name uncultured bacterium. RNAcentral's name for it is "partial 16S ribosomal RNA". It matches the Rfam family "Bacterial small subunit ribosomal RNA", at positions 29 to 507 of the family's 1533-position model. The record is from RNAcentral.